This 196-nucleotide small nuclear RNA is filed under the name Triticum dicoccoides. RNAcentral describes it as "snRNA U2". It matches the Rfam family "U2 spliceosomal RNA". From Rfam's summary of the family: U2 is a small nuclear RNA (snRNA) component of the spliceosome (involved in pre-mRNA splicing). Complementary binding between U2 snRNA (in an area lying towards the 5' end but 3' to hairpin I) and the branchpoint sequence (BPS) of the intron results the bulging out of an unpaired adenosine, on the BPS, which initiates a nucleophilic attack at the intronic 5' splice site, thus starting the first of two transesterification reactions that mediate splicing. The record is from RNAcentral. Lineage: Eukaryota; Viridiplantae; Streptophyta; Magnoliopsida; Poales; Poaceae.
AUACCUUUCUCGGCCUUUUGGCUAAGAUCAAGCGUAGUAUCUGUUCUUAUCAGUUUAAUAUCUGAUAUGUGGGUCAUGUGCCCACAAUGAUAUUAAAUUUAUUUUUUAUGGAGGAGGGUCCACCACAGUGGCUUGCCAUUGGGGCCCUCAAGUGUCGUCUGGGCGUUGCACUACAGCCCAGGCCGGCGCACCCCAA